Molecule: transfer RNA, 74 nt
Filed under: Burkholderia cepacia
Lineage: Bacteria; Pseudomonadati; Pseudomonadota; Betaproteobacteria; Burkholderiales; Burkholderiaceae
Description: tRNA-OTHER
Rfam family: tRNA
About the family: Transfer RNA (tRNA) molecules are approximately 80 nucleotides in length.
Source: RNAcentral
GCCUGUAGCUCAGCCGGUUAGAGCAGCCGAUUUUAAUCGGCAGGUAGCGGGCUCAGGUCCUGCAACCGGCACCA